This 362-nucleotide ribosomal RNA is filed under the name uncultured bacterium. RNAcentral's name for it is "partial 16S ribosomal RNA". It matches the Rfam family "Bacterial small subunit ribosomal RNA", at positions 338 to 697 of the family's 1533-position model. The record is from RNAcentral.
CCUACGGGAGGCAGCAGUGAGGAAUAUUGGUCAAUGGCCGUAAGUCUGAACCAGCCAAGUCGCGUGAAGGAAGAAGGCUCUAUGGUUUGUAAACUUCUUUUAUAGGGGAAUAAAGGUAUCUACGCGUGGAUAUCUGCAUGUAUCCUAUGAAUAAGCAUCGGCUAACUCCGUGCCAGCAGCCGCGGUAAUACGGAGGAUGCGAGCGUUAUCCGGAUUUAUUGGGUUUAAAGGGUGCGUAGGUUGUUUUUUAAGUCAGCGGUGAAAGUUUGUGGCUCAACCAUGGAAUUGCCGUUGAUACUGGAAGGCUUGAGUGUGUUUGAGGUAGGCGGAAUGCGUGGUGUAGCGGUGAAAUGCGUAGAUAU